This 201-nucleotide ribosomal RNA is filed under the name uncultured bacterium. RNAcentral's name for it is "partial 16S ribosomal RNA". It matches the Rfam family "Bacterial small subunit ribosomal RNA", at positions 29 to 258 of the family's 1533-position model. The record is from RNAcentral.
AGCGAACGCUGGCGGCAGGCCUAACACAUGCAAGUCGAACGGAUCCUUCGGGAUUAGUGGCGGACGGGUGAGUAACACGUGGGAACGUGCCUUUUGGUUCGGAACAACUCAGGGAAACUUGAGCUAAUACCGGAUAAGCCUUUCGAGGGAAGAUUUAUCGCCAUUAGAGCGGCCCGCGUAGGAUUAGCUAGUUGGUGGGGU